AUACAGAUGAUGAGUCCCAAAUAGGAUGAAAUUCGAAUCCUUGAU
This 45-nucleotide non-coding RNA is filed under the name Trichobilharzia regenti. Lineage: Eukaryota; Metazoa; Platyhelminthes; Trematoda; Strigeidida; Schistosomatidae. The record is from RNAcentral.